This 1522-nucleotide long non-coding RNA is filed under the name Oryctolagus cuniculus (rabbit). RNAcentral describes it as "lncRNA (ENSOCUG00000035256.1)". The record is from RNAcentral. Lineage: Eukaryota; Metazoa; Chordata; Mammalia; Lagomorpha; Leporidae.
AUGGCAAUUUCCCGGGCCGUUAUUUAUUUUUACUUUAAAGUCUUUAGGGGAGAUUUGCUUAUACGCUCGGAAACCUUCCAGCGCUCCAGCUCCGGCAACCCCGCUCGCCCUGGUCGCUGGGGGAGGGGUAGAGAACAAUUACUGAGUGACGCUUCUACAGGGAACCGGCAGAGAAAAGUCGAUUGUUUUUAUUGUAAUAGAAGGAGUGAGCAAACAGAAAAACCAGCCCCGGGUGAUCGGAAACAGGCAGGCGGAGAAUUAAAAGCGGGUUUCGGGCGGCAACAGGCCCCUCCUCUGCCCUCCGAAGGAGAAGCGGGCGCUGAGCGCUCGCAGCCGGCGGGACUGACCCCCACGGCCCGCCGCGCUCCGGACAGGCCGCUGCCCGCGGCGCUGGUGCACGGAUUGCUCAGCCGCCGCCGCCGGAGCCCGUCCGCUGCCGCCCGACCCGCCUCGCCGGGCCGGGCUCAGGCUGGGGGACCGCAAGGCUCUUCUGUGAGAAGGCAGGGAGGCAGCGGGGGCGCAGCUCCGAGCAUCUUCCGGCUUCUCCUCGGGCGGGCGCGUGCGCUGCGCUGCCAGUUCCAGAGCAGGUGCGGAGACGGACCGAGAGAGACAGCGGAAGGAGUUUCCCGGGCUGUGCCGUCGCUCACCGUCGGGCGCCAAUCAACACGCAGUUUUCUCUCGGGCCCGCCUCUUUGGGGGGCGUGUCCCUAGUGAGUGAUAGACGGAGCCGCCCGGCCCUGCUCAGCCCAGCCCACGUUGCUGCUUAGAUUGAAAUGCAGAACUCAAGCCUCUUUCAUCGGGGCACAGACUUCCUUUUACUCCUUCCUUUUGCACUCUCGCCGCCUCCUCCCGGGGAGAAGCGGAGGCACCGGCGGCCCGGGGCAGCGACAGGCCGGGCUACCGAGGCCGUGCGUCAAGUUUCUUUCUGGAAGUGCGGGACAGGGCCGGGCUGGUGUACGGCUCGGAGCAAUGGGUGAGUGGCUGCGGGGGCCGCUGUCAGAGCGGCGGCGGACGGGCGUUCCGCUGAUUGACUUUGCUCGGUUACUGCUGGGUGUAGGACUGCGCCAAGGGCCAGCGGCGCACGGCGGUCCGGUGUGCGCGCCGGCUGCUGGGCUGCUGUUGAUGCGGGAGUCCUGAUUUUAAACAGCGCAGCGUGGCAUCAGAGAGCCCCGCAGCCCCGGUGGCAAUCCAAGCCGUGUUUCCCACGCGCGCACGCACGGACGCUCGCAAACAAAACAGCCAAAACAACAACCCCAAACUCUCUCUAGCUUUGCCCUACGCUUGGUCCAGCUGCGCGGGUCUUCGGGCGGGGCGCGGGGGAGGGGGCGGGGGCGGGGAGCGGCCCGAGAGCUUCCGUGCGGAGCCGGCCAGCGGGUGCGCGUUCAGGAGUCGAGACCGAUUCCCCCGCCUGGUUCGGAGACUUUCUCGCUGCUUUGCUGGUCAGUUGCGGCCACUCGCUCUGUAUGUACGAGGGAAGGGGUCCUCCUGGACCGCGGCAAGUCUUUGCCGGGGGGGGGGGGCG